CUGGGCUCCACCUCGAGGGUGAUGGUCUUGCCCGUCAGGGUCUUCACGAAGAUCUGCAUUGUCUAAUCCAGAUGACAGCUGU
Non-coding RNA from Ceratotherium simum simum (southern white rhinoceros), 82 nucleotides. NCBI's taxonomy places the organism in Eukaryota, Metazoa, Chordata, Mammalia, Perissodactyla, Rhinocerotidae. The record is from RefSeq and is a predicted model, not a curated record.